Long non-coding RNA from Cygnus olor (mute swan), 964 nucleotides. RefSeq lists it as uncharacterized. The transcript is spliced from 3 exons. The record is from RefSeq and is a predicted model, not a curated record. NCBI's taxonomy places the organism in Eukaryota, Metazoa, Chordata, Aves, Anseriformes, Anatidae.
CAAGUGAGAAGCAAAACACCUUGGGGCAUUUUGCCAUAUGAAUGUGCCCUCCUGCUCCAUACGGACACCCAUCCAGCACCUUGCCCAGAGCCCCACUAGCACAGAGGAGAGGGGCUGCACAGACAGCUUCCCUGCCUUUCUGCAAAAGAAGCAGCGUGGAUUUCGUUUUCCAGCUGAUUUUUGCAGUCACGACUUGGAAGCGCUGCUGUUGGCUCUGUCUGAUUUUACGGCCACGCUGGAGCAGAGGGAAAGGGUGGGGAACCCCGAGUCAGGCAAAACGCACGGGGAGUGUGACCCUGCUCAGUAACCAGCACCGCCACCAGCCAGGAAACCCUGCCUGUGAGGUGAAAGCACUAUUUAUUUAAGAUAUUUCCCCCGCAGGUGAAUUUCCACAUCUUGGGCUCACUGGAAAGGGGCUGGCGAAAUAACCGCAGGAGCCACCUUUGGGAAGUGGGACGCAUCCGGGCCGCUUGGUUGCAGCCCAGCGACCUGCGGCAGCUUUGUGUUUUGCCAGAUCUGGUUUCUUGCCUGCAUAAUCCUGGUUUUGAUGAAACUGUGUUUUUAAGAAGCAAAGAAAGUCCCCAGUGAGUGGUGCUGAGUCCGCUCAUGGCCGUGGUUCCCCAGGGGCAUGCUGGGCAGCAGGCAUCCCCAUGGGAACAGCAAAGCCUCCAUCUGAUCUUCUGCCUCUCUCCAACAACAGCCCUGAAAGGAGCAAGAGAGCAAUGUGGGUCUCCAGCACUCCCCGUGCGUGAUCCUCUUGGCUUGGCAAAAGGCAGCCCAAGGCCACUCUGAGGAGCUCUGGACAGAUGGACGUGCCAUUGUGUACUUCGUGUGGCUGUAAUCUGGAGGCUGACAUAAGUAAGUUCCUGUUCCUGAAAAUAUAAAUAUACAUAAAUAAACUGUUUUCAGGAAGAUGCAGAAGCAAGUGUCUGAGAAAAAGAUAAAGCUAUAUAAACAAACACUG